UUCUAUUUAAACUCAUGAAAACUCCACCAAAAAUAAACAUUUUUUCUUGCCAAGCUUCUUCUUCUUGCUCAUUUAAAAUAUUGUUCGUCUUCUUUGUUACAACAUUGUUCAACGUAAGCAAUUUGCUUUCUACAGGUAAACAAUACAAUUAUUUAUUUAGAUUUAUUUUUUAUCAUAUGUUUAAAUUUUACAUCACAUCAUAGUUGCUAACGAUUUUGAUUUUUUUGUACAAAUCAUACAUAAUUUUCGUUCACAAUGACUCCCAAUAUGACAAACAUAUCCCUUCACAUAAUGUUCAUCUCUUUCAUUAUUUGUUUGACCAUGAUGUUUUAAUUUUCAUAAUCUAUUAUACCGUUUAUUUAUUUAUUUAUUUUCUAAACUCAUUAUAUUUUAUCGCUUCACAGGUCACCGUAUGUUAAUAAUUGUCUCUUUUCCUUAUCAUCGCGUGAAUUUUGUUUUCAGAAGAAUUGAGGGAUGAUGCCGAGACUCAUUGGCCUACAAUAUCACUUUAUAAUUUAUAAGUCCAAGACCAACAUGUUCCGUUGGAGUGAACUAUUUGGUUGAAGAUAGAAUAUCUCAAAGUUUUCAGCUUAGCAAUAUUCUUUCAAUAAUCAAACAAUAAUUAUUUCACAGAUUGAAAACAAGAAGUUGAAAGCUAAAAUAUUUUGUACAUAAUCUCUAAAAUUAUGUUGUUUUGACAUUCUUAUGUGAAGUGUUAAUUUGAUAUGGUUUGAACAAACUUUGUUGCUUGAGGGAUAUGCAUGUAUAGAACCCGAAAUGUAUGAAG
RNAcentral lists this long non-coding RNA (787 nucleotides) under Erythranthe guttata (spotted monkey flower). Its description in RNAcentral is "long non-coding RNA (EGUT_LNC001890)". The record is from RNAcentral. Lineage: Eukaryota; Viridiplantae; Streptophyta; Magnoliopsida; Lamiales; Phrymaceae.